CUUGCUGGGUGGAUUAGUGGCGAACGGGUGAGUAACACGUGAGUAACCUGCCCUUGACUCUGGGAUAAGCGCUGGAAACGGCGUCUAAUACCGGAUACGACCUGCCCCGGCAUCGGGUGCGGGUGGAAAGUUUUUCGGUCAAGGAUGGACUCGCGGCCUAUCAGCUUGUUGGUGAGGUAAUGGCUCACCAAGGCGACGACGGGUAGCCGGCCUGAGAGGGUGACCGGCCACACUGGGACUGAGACACGGCCCAGACUCCUACGGGAGGCAGCAGUGGGGAAUAUUGCACAAUGGGCGAAAGCCUGAUGCAGCAACGCCGCGUGGGGGAUGACGGCCUUCGGGUUGUAAACCUCUUUUAGUAGGGAAGAAGGGCUUCGGCUUGACGGUACCUGCAGAAAAAGCACCGGCUAACUACGUGCCAGCAGCCGCGGUAAUACGUAGGGUGCAAGCGUUGUCCGGAAUUAUUGGGCGUAAAGAGCUCGUAGGCGGUUUGUCGCGUCUGCUGUGAAAACCCGAGGCUCAACCUCGGGCCUGCAGUGGGUACGGGCAGACUAGAGUGCGGUAGGGGAGAAUGGAAUUCCUGGUGUAGCGGUGGAAUGCGCAGAUAUCAGGAGGAACACCGAUGGCGAAGGCAGUUCUCUGGGCCGUUACUGACGCUGAGGAGCGAAAGCGUGGGGAGCGAACAGGAUUAGAUACCCUGGUAGUCCACGCCGUAAACGUUGGGAACUAGAUGUGGGGACCUUUCCACGGUCUCCGUGUCGCAGCUAACGCAUUAAGUUCCCCGCCUGGGGAGUACGGCCGCAAGGCUAAAACUCAAAGGAAUUGACGGGGGCCCGCACAAGCGGCGGAGCAUGCGGAUUAAUUCGAUGCAACGCGAAGAACCUUACCAAGGCUUGACAUAUACCGGAAACUUCCAGAAAUGGUUGCCCCGCAAGGUCGGUAUACAGGUGGUGCAUGGUUGUCGUCAGCUCGUGUCGUGAGAUGUUGGGUUAAGUCCCGCAACGAGCGCAACCCUCGUUCUAUGUUGCCAGCACGUCAUGGUGGGAACUCAUAGGAGACUGCCGGGGUCAACUCGGAGGAAGGUGGGGAUGACGUCAAAUCAUCAUGCCCCUUAUGUCUUGGGCUUCACGCAUGCUACAAUGGCCGGUACAAAGGGCUGCGAUACCGUAAGGUGGAGCGAAUCCCAAAAAGCCGGUCUCAGUUCGGAUUGAGGUCUGCAACUCGACCUCAUGAAGUCGGAGUCGCUAGUAAUCGCAGAUCAGCAACGCUGCGGUGAAUACGUUCCCGGGCCUUGUACACACCGCCCGUCAAGUCAUGAAAGUCGGUAACACCCGAAGC
RNAcentral lists this ribosomal RNA (1338 nucleotides) under Rathayibacter sp. RNAcentral describes it as "bacterial SSU rRNA". It matches the Rfam family "Bacterial small subunit ribosomal RNA", at positions 79 to 1427 of the family's 1533-position model. The record is from RNAcentral. Lineage: Bacteria; Bacillati; Actinomycetota; Actinomycetes; Micrococcales; Microbacteriaceae.